RNAcentral lists this ribosomal RNA (1108 nucleotides) under uncultured organism. Its description in RNAcentral is "bacterial SSU rRNA". It matches the Rfam family "Bacterial small subunit ribosomal RNA", at positions 94 to 1237 of the family's 1533-position model. The record is from RNAcentral.
AGCGGCAAACGGGUGAGUAACACGUGGGUGACCUACCCUGAAGACGGGGACAACCCUUGGAAACGGGGGCUAAUACCCGAUGUGCUCGGUCAUUCGGUUGGUCGAGUAAAGGCUGAGGCGCUUCAGGAUGGGCCUGCGGCCCAUCAGCUAGUUGGUAGGGUAACGGCCUACCAAGGCGGAGACGGGUAGGGGGCGUGAGAGCGCGGUCCCCCACACUGGCACUGCGACACGGGCCAGACUCCUACGGGAGGCAGCAGUAAGGAAUCUUGCGCAAUGGGCGAAAGCCAGACGCAGCGACGCCGCGUGGGCGAAGAAGGCCUUCGGGUUGUAAAGCCCUUUUCCAGGGGAAGAGGAAGGACGGUACCCUGGGAAUAAGUCCCGGCUAACUAUGUGCCAGCAGCCGCGGUAAGACAUAGGGGACGAGCGUUAUCCGGAUUUACUGGGCGUAAAGAGCGUUGAGGCGGUUCCGUAAGUUGGAUGUGAAAGCCCCGGGCUUAACUCGGGGAGGUCGUUCAAUACUGCGGGGCUAGAGGGCAGCAGAGGGAGGUGGAAUUCCCGGUGUAGUGGUGAAAUGCGUAGAUAUCGGGAGGAACACCCGUGGCGAAGGCGGCCUCCUGGGCUGACCCUGACGCUGAAUGCGAAAGCUAGGGGAGCGAACGGGAUUAGAUACCCCGGUAGUCCUAGCUGUAAACGAUGGAUGCUGGGUGUGGGGGAUAUAAAUUCCCUCUGUGCCGAAGCUAACGCGUUAAGCAUCCCGCAUGGGGACUACGGCCGCAAGGCUAAUACUCGAACGAAUUGACGGGGGCCCGCACAAGCAGCGGAGCGUGUGGUUUAAUUCGAUGCUACACGAAGAACCUUACCUGGGCUUGACAUGCACGUGGUAGGGAACCGAAAGGGGACCGACCUUCGGGAGCGUGCACAGGUGCUGCAUGGCUGUCGUCAGCUCGUGCCGUGAGGUGUCGGGUUAAGUCUCGUAACGAGCGCAACCACUUGCCAUUAGUUAUACGUGUCUAAGGGGACUGCCCGGGAUAACCGGGAGGAAGGUGGGGAUGACGUCAAGUCAGCAUGGCCUUUAUGUCCAGGGCUACACACACGCUACAAUGGCCGG